RNAcentral lists this ribosomal RNA (305 nucleotides) under uncultured bacterium. RNAcentral describes it as "bacterial SSU rRNA". It matches the Rfam family "Bacterial small subunit ribosomal RNA", at positions 338 to 641 of the family's 1533-position model. The record is from RNAcentral.
CCUACGGGAGGCAGCAGUGAGGAAUAUUGGUCAAUGGGCGGGAGCCUGAACCAGCCAAGUCGCGUGAAGGAAGAAGGUACUUAGUAUUGUAAACUUCUUUUGUCGGGGAGCAAAAGACGCCACGCGUGGCGUUCCGAGAGUACCCGAAGAAAAAGCAUCGGCUAACUCCGUGCCAGCAGCCGCGGUAAUACGGAGGAUGCGAGCGUUAUCCGGAUUUAUUGGGUUUAAAGGGUGCGCAGGCGGAAGAUCAAGUCAGCGGUAAAAUUGAGAGGCUCAACCUCUUCGAGCCGUUGAAACUGGUUUUU